UGCAGUCGAGCGCGGGAAGCAGGCAGAACUCCUUCGGGAGUGAUGCCUGUGGAACGAGCGGCGGACGGGUGAGUAACACGUGGGCAACCUGCCUGUAAGACUGGGAUAACCCCGGGAAACCGGGGCUAAUACCGGAUAACACUUUUUGGUACAUGCCAAGAAGUUGAAAGGCGGCCUUUUUGGCUGUCACUUACAGAUGGGCCCGCGGCGCAUUAGCUAGUUGGUAGGGUAACGGCCUACCAAGGCAACGAUGCGUAGCCGACCUGAGAGGGUGAUCGGCCACACUGGGACUGAGACACGGCCCAGACUCCUACGGGAGGCAGCAGUAGGGAAUCUUCCGCAAUGGACGAAAGUCUGACGGAGCAACGCCGCGUGAGUGAUGAAGGUUUUCGGAUCGUAAAACUCUGUUGUUAGGGAAGAACAAGUGCCGUUCAAAUAGGGCGGCACCUUGACGGUACCUAACCAGAAAGCCCCGGCUAACUACGUGCCAGCAGCCGCGGUAAUACGUAGGGGGCAAGCGUUGUCCGGAAUUAUUGGGCGUAAAGCGCGCGCAGGCGGUCCUUUAAGUCUGAUGUGAAAGCCCACGGCUCAACCGUGGAUGGCCAUUGGAAACUGGAGGACUUGAGUACAGAAGAUGAGAGUGGAAUUCCACGUGUAGCGGUGAAAUGCGUAGAGAUGUGGAGGAACACCAGUGGGCGAAGCGACUCUCUGGUCUGUAACUGACGCUGAGGUGCGAAAGCGUGGGGAGCGAACAGGAU
This 758-nucleotide ribosomal RNA is filed under the name halophilic bacterium CM-4. Its description in RNAcentral is "bacterial SSU rRNA". It matches the Rfam family "Bacterial small subunit ribosomal RNA", at positions 56 to 778 of the family's 1533-position model. The record is from RNAcentral. Lineage: Bacteria; Bacillati; Bacillota; Bacilli; Caryophanales.